Long non-coding RNA from Symphalangus syndactylus (siamang), 642 nucleotides. RefSeq lists it as uncharacterized. NCBI's taxonomy places the organism in Eukaryota, Metazoa, Chordata, Mammalia, Primates, Hylobatidae. The record is from RefSeq and is a predicted model, not a curated record.
CCUAGGAGUCAGUCACUCAGUCACCUUUCUUCCUUAUCCCCUGGUCAUCUAUCUAAUCACUUAAUGGAGCCUCUUCCAGUUCUGCCAGAGGCAAUACUAAUAACCAGUAGGAUCAGAGAGUCUCUGUUCUGGCUCACAGCUUUCUAAAACCCAAGCCAUGCUUGGACUCUUCUAUUAAAUUUGGAAAAAAAUAUCUGUAACACAUUUUUUCUUUUUUAAAAAAGUACACUAUAAGAUACAAAAAUAUUCUCAACAGAUUAUGGAAAUACAAAUCAAAUCCUCCCUGAUACGACUUCACACCCACUAGGAUGGCUAUAGAAUCAAAAAGAUGGACAAUAACAAGUGCUGGUGAGGACAUGGAGCAACUGGAACCUGGCACACGCAGGCCAUCUAAUCUUCCUGCAACUGCUGAGCAUUGUCAUAAACAUUUGUAUUCCCCUGACAUCCAGACAAGCAAGAGCCUUUCCCAAACACGGUGAGGUCCCUGUAGUUGACAGCCUAACUCGAGCAUUAAAAACAUUACUACUAGCAUUUAAUACUUCCAUGAUGAAAGUCACUCAGUGAUGGCAUUUGGGUGUCACAGAAAAUAUUUCUUGGGACAGUGGCACAGUCAGAAGCUGUCGGGAGUGUGGACAUACCUGU